RNAcentral lists this ribosomal RNA (467 nucleotides) under uncultured bacterium. RNAcentral's name for it is "partial 16S ribosomal RNA". It matches the Rfam family "Bacterial small subunit ribosomal RNA", at positions 28 to 506 of the family's 1533-position model. The record is from RNAcentral.
GACGAACGCUGGCGGCGUGCUUAACACAUGCAAGUCGAACGGGAAGGCCCUGCUUUUGUGGGGUGCUCGAGUGGCGAACGGGUGAGUAACACGUGAGUAACCUGCCCUUGACUUUGGGAUAACUUCAGGAAACUGGGGCUAAUACCGGAUAGGAGCUCCUGCUGCAUGGUGGGGGUUGGAAAGUUUCGGCGGUUGGGGAUGGACUCGCGGCUUAUCAGCUUGUUGGUGGGGUAGUGGCUUACCAAGGCUUUGACGGGUAGCCGGCCUGAGAGGGUGACCGGCCACAUUGGGACUGAGAUACGGCCCAGACUCCUACGGGAGGCAGCAGUGGGGAAUAUUGCACAAGGGGCGGAAGCCUGAUGCAGCAACGCCGCGUGCGGGAUGACGGCCUUCGGGUUGUAAACCGCUUUCGCCUGUGACGAAGCGUGAGGGACGGUAAUGGGUAAAGAAGCACCGGCUAACUACGU